AGAAUCAACGCUGGCGGCGUGCCUAACACAUGCAAGUCGAACGAGAAAGGGUAGCAAUACCUGAGUAAAGUGGCGCACGGGUGAGUAACACGUGACUAACCUACCUUUUAGUGGGGGAUAACCUAGGGAAACCUGGGCUAAUACCGCAUAAUACCUACGGGUCAAAGCAGUAAUGCGCUGGAAGAGGGGGUCGCGGCCGAUUAGCUAGUUGGCGGGGUAAUGGCCCACCAAGGCAGUGAUCGGUAU
RNAcentral lists this ribosomal RNA (246 nucleotides) under uncultured bacterium. RNAcentral's name for it is "partial small subunit ribosomal RNA". It matches the Rfam family "Bacterial small subunit ribosomal RNA", at positions 26 to 286 of the family's 1533-position model. The record is from RNAcentral.